CUGUCCCAGUUUCCUACACAAAGAAGUGUUCCUUUAUAUGUUAGCUCAUUCUUUCAUAUCAUAUGCAUUCAGAAUGACCCUGACUAUCACUGUAUUCAUUUUCAAAGCAUUUUAAUGUAUAGUUGUGGAGAAAGCUAAAAGCAAAAUCACCCCAAAUAAAAAAUGCAUCCGAGAAAUUGCAGUGUGUCCCAUUUUUCAACAUUCAUAAAAAAGGUUGCUUUAUAGGUUAGCUCAUUCUUUCAAAUCAUAUGUAUUCAGAGUGAUCCUGACUACCACUGUAUUAAUAUUCAAGGCAUUUUACUGUAUAGUUUUGGAGAAAACUAAAAGCAAAUUCACCCAAAACAUCAAAAUCCAUUGUUGCACUUACACUUUUUCCCAUUUUCAAAAAUUCAUAUAAAGUGUUCCUUUAUAGGUUAGCUCAUUCUUUUAAUGUAUAUGUAUUCAGAGUGACCCAGACUACCACUGUAUUAAUUAUCAAGGGAUUUUACUGUAUAGUUUUGGAGAAAACUAAAAGCAAAUUCCCGCAAAACAUCAAUCUCCAUUGUUGCACUUAAACUUUUUCCCAUUUUCAAAAAUUCAUAUAAAGUGUUCCUUUAUAGGUUAGCUCAUUCUUUUAAUGUAUAUGUAUUCAGAGUGACCCAGACUACCACUGUAUUAAUUAUCAAGGCAUUUUACUGUAUAGUUUUGGAGAAAACUAAAAGCAAAUUCACCCAAAACAUCAAAAUCCAUUGUUGCACUUAGACUUUUUCCCAUUUUCCAAAAUUCAUAAAAGGGGUUCCUUUAUAGGUUAGCUCAUUCUUUCAAGUCAUAUGUAUUCAGAGUGACCCCUACUAUCACUGUAUUAAUAUUCAAGGCAUUUUACUGUAUAGUUUUGGAGAAAACUAAAAGCAAAUUCCCGCAAAACAUCAAUCUCCAUUGUUGCACUUAAACUUAUUCCCAUUUUCAAAAAUUCAUAUAAAGUGUUCCUUUAUAGGUUAGCUCAUUCUUUUAAUGUAUAUUUAUUCAGAGUGACCCAGACUCCCACUGUAUUAAUUAUCAAGGGAUUUUACUGUAAA
Long non-coding RNA from Carassius gibelio (silver crucian carp), 1055 nucleotides. RefSeq lists it as uncharacterized. NCBI's taxonomy places the organism in Eukaryota, Metazoa, Chordata, Actinopteri, Cypriniformes, Cyprinidae. The transcript is spliced from 3 exons. The record is from RefSeq and is a predicted model, not a curated record.